This is a non-coding RNA of Pteropus alecto (black flying fox), 87 nucleotides long. NCBI's taxonomy places the organism in Eukaryota, Metazoa, Chordata, Mammalia, Chiroptera, Pteropodidae. The record is from Rfam.
UGUGUGGCUCUCUGUACAUCUGCGGGUGUGGCUGGGGUCAUUCCGCGCAGACACCGCGGCUUUUGUCUGCAUCUGGACGAGUGGCUG